This 1436-nucleotide long non-coding RNA is filed under the name Linum usitatissimum (flax). Its description in RNAcentral is "long non-coding RNA (LUSI_LNC003106)". Lineage: Eukaryota; Viridiplantae; Streptophyta; Magnoliopsida; Malpighiales; Linaceae. The record is from RNAcentral.
UUGACAUCAAAAUAAAUCCUAUCUUAAAUUUUGUCUCAACAAAAGGACAUGAUGAGGGUGCUGGGGUUGACCUAAAGGCCAUCAUUAUAUUUUCAAGUGAAUCAAUAUCCUUGAAGCUUUGGAAAGGAGGCUAAGGGGCAGGGGAAGCCACAUACAACUGAAAAUACAAUAACGAAGAUCAAACUAUGUUAAAAAAGUAGAGAAUAAUCCACAACUUAUCGAAGAAUAAUUCAACCAAAAUUUUCUCGCAAUGGUAAGUACUCUUCCUCCAUCUUCAUUACUAUGUCCAAUUUUGAGGCUGCACGUAUCACUAUUCUUUCACUCAGAAGCACGCAUCCAGUAAGCAGCAACAACACAGAGCAGCCAAACUAAACCAUCAAAGUAAAACCAAGUUAGUAGAUACAAAAUGUCAUCCAAUCAAUCACGGUCUCAACUCUUUAAAGAUUCAUAUCCACAUAAUGUAAAUAAGGUAUUUCGAAACAAAAUGAUGCAUUAUUUAUUUAGAAAUGUGAUAUUUUUGAAAUAUAAAACAUUUAAAAAAGCAUAAAAAUUAUCUUGUUUGCCUAACACAAAAAUAAUAAGUUAUGAGUUUUGGAUUGAAAAUUUUGAAUUGAGUUAUUUGAAAUACCACCCCAUAACCAAGUAUUUGAAAUAAUUUGAUUCGAGUUAUUUUAAAUUCCACAGUUACGAAAUACCACGAGUAUUAGAAUAAAAAACAAAAUAUUUUAAUCCAAAAUACCUCAUUCAAAUAGUUCAUCCAAACGACCCGAUAAAAUAAACACAUACCGUUACUGUGCAUUGUGCUCGUUACUUAUUGGAAAAUAGAAACAAGAGAACGAUUUUCUUUCAGUCAUAAACACAAUCUAUCAAUCAUAAAAUAGCUGAGAAAUGGAGUUUAUUUCAAUUUCAUACGGAAAGCCGUUGUAAUUUCCUUGCAUAGUUGAGAAAAUGGAGUAAAAUGAGAAGUACCAGCCUUCUAAACAACCGCUGUUGUUGUUUUGGUGUUGUUGUUGAGGCGGUGGCUGAGCAUAUUGAGGAGCAUAAGGUGGGGGAGGACCAGGGUACCCCGGUUGAGGAGGAUAUCCAUAUCCUGAUUGAGGAGGAUAACCAGGAGGAGGAUAACCCUGCGGAGGAUAUCCAGGCGGUGGAUAAGCAGUAUCUUUCGGAUAUUCUUCCCGCGAAUAAGCUGUUUUUUUGGUGAAAUCAGUCACCAUCAUAUAUAAUUCAGAGCCGCGAUCAAAAUCAUUUUAAAUCAAACAAAGAUCAACAUCAAAAUUAAACGAAUAAUGGAUUCGAAAAUAAAAGGUAGAUACCGAACUUGAGGGUGAGGGAGAGGAACACCGACGGGAGGUUGUUGCUGGUUGUAAUAGCUCAUGAUUCUUCUUCUUCUUCUUCUUCUUCUUGGGGAUUUGAAAUUGAAUCGGUGAGCUCUAAGG